Molecule: ribosomal RNA, 479 nt
Filed under: uncultured bacterium
Lineage: Bacteria
Description: partial 16S ribosomal RNA
Rfam family: Bacterial small subunit ribosomal RNA
Source: RNAcentral
GAUGAACGCUAGCGGGAGGCCUAACACAUGCAAGCCGAGCGGUAGAGUUUCUUCGGAAACUUGAGAGCGGCGCACGGGUGCGUAACACGUGUGCAACCUACCUUUAUCUGGGGGAUAGCCUUUCGAAAGGAAGAUUAAUACCCCAUAAUAUAAUGAUUGGCAUCAAUUAUUAUUGAAAACUCCGGUGGGUAGAGAUGGGCACGCGCAAGAUUAGAUAGUUGGUGAGGUAACGGCUCACCAAGUCAAUGAUCUUUAGGGGUCCUGAGAGGGAGAUCCCCCACACUGGUACUGAGACACGGACCAGACUCCUACGGGAGGCAGCAGUGAGGAAUAUUGGACAAUGGGUGAGAGCCUGAUCCAGCCAUCCCGCGUGAAGGAUGACGGUCCUAUGGAUUGUAAACUUCUUUUGUACAGGGAUAAACCUACCCUCGUGAGGGUAGCUGAAGGUACUGUACGAAUAAGCACCGGCUAACUCCGUG